AUUGAACGCUGGCGGCAUGCUUUACACAUGCAAGUCGAACGGUAACAGGCCUUCGGGUGCUGACGAGUGGCGAACGGGUGAGUAAUGCAUCGGAACGUGCCCAAUCGUGGGGGAUAACGUAGCGAAAGUUACGCUAAUACCGCAUAAGCCCUGAGGGGGAAAGUGGGGGACCGCAAGGCCUCACGCGAAUGGAGCGGCCGAUGUCAGAUUAGCUAGUUGGUGGGGUAAAGGCCCACCAAGGCGACGAUCUGUAGCGGGUCUGAGAGGAUGAUCCGCCACACUGGGACUGAGACACGGCCCAGACUCCUACGGGAGGCAGCAGUGGGGAAUUUUGGACAAUGGGCGCAAGCCUGAUCCAGCCAUGCCGCGUGCGGGACGAAGGCCUCGGUGUAA
This 393-nucleotide ribosomal RNA is filed under the name uncultured bacterium. RNAcentral describes it as "bacterial SSU rRNA". It matches the Rfam family "Bacterial small subunit ribosomal RNA", at positions 29 to 428 of the family's 1533-position model. The record is from RNAcentral.